Molecule: ribosomal RNA, 460 nt
Filed under: uncultured bacterium
Lineage: Bacteria
Description: partial 16S ribosomal RNA
Rfam family: Bacterial small subunit ribosomal RNA
Source: RNAcentral
CCUACGGGGGGCAGCAGUGAGGAAUAUUGGUCAAUGGACGAGAGUCUGAACCAGCCAAGUAGCGUGAAGGAUGACUGCCCUAUGGGUUGUAAACUUCUUUUAUAUGGGAAUAAAAUGUUCCACGUGUGGGAUUUUGUAUGUACCAUAUGAAUACGGAUCGGCUAACUCCGUGCCAGCAGCCGCGGUAAUACGGAGGAUCCGAGCGUUAUCCGGAUUUAUUGGGUUUAAAGGGAGCGUAGGUGGAUUGUUAAGUCAGUUGUGAAAGUUUGCGGCUCAACCGUAAAAUUGCAGUUGAAACUGGCAGUCGUGAGUACAGUAGAGGUGGGCGGAAUUCGUGGUGUAGCGGUGAAAUGAUUAGAUAUCACGAAGAACUCCUAUUGCGAAGGCAGCUCACUGGACUGCAACUGACACUGAGGCUCGAAAGUGUGGGUAUCAAACAGGAUUAGAUACCCCAGUAGUC